This 759-nucleotide ribosomal RNA is filed under the name Triticum aestivum (bread wheat). RNAcentral describes it as "partial small subunit ribosomal RNA". Lineage: Eukaryota; Viridiplantae; Streptophyta; Magnoliopsida; Poales; Poaceae. The record is from RNAcentral.
AUGAUGGGGUACCAGAAGGGCGUCGACAUCGAGGCGGGGACCUCCGGCGGCGGCACCGGCACCACCGCGCCGACCCGGGGGCUGUACCCCGGGAUGACGGAGAGCCCGGAGCUGCGCUGGGCUCUCAUCCGGAAGAUCUACGUCAUCCUCUCCCUGCAGCUCCUCCUCACCGCCGUCGUCGCCGCCGUCGUCGUCAAGGUCCGCGCCAUCCCGCACUUCUUCGUCUCCUCCAGCGCCGGCCUCGGGCUCUACAUCUUCCUCAUCAUCUUCCCCUUCAUCGUGCUGUGCCCGUUGUACUUCUACCGCCAGAAGCACCCGGUCAACCUGCUGCUGCUUGGCGUCUUCACAGUGGCCAUCAGCUUCGCUGUGGGCAUGACAUGUGCCUUUACUAGCGGCAAGGUCAUUCUGGAGGCCGCGAUUCUUACAACAGUGGUUGUCUUCAGCCUCACUGCUUACACCUUCUGGGCCGCAAAGAGGGGCCAGGACUUCAGCUUCCUUGGUCCUUUCCUAUUUGCUUCUCUCAUCAUGUUGCUCGUCUUUGGGUUCAUUCAGAUCCUCUUCCCGAUGGGCAAGCUCUCUCACAUGAUCUAUGGCGCAUUGGCGGCACUCAUCUUCAGUGGCUACAUUGUCUAUGACACGGACAACAUCAUCAAGCGUUACACCUACGACGAGUAUGUCUGGGCCGCCGUCUCGCUCUACCUUGACGUCAUCAAUCUGUUCCUGGCCCUGCUGACCCUGUUUAGGGCGGGUGACAGCUAA